AUUGAACGCUGGCGGAAUGCUUUACACAUGCAAGUCGAACGGUAGAGGGGGCAACCCCUCGAGAGUGGCGAAAGGGUGAGUAAUAUAUCGGAACGUGCCCAGUCGUGGGGGAUAACGUAGCGAAAGUUACGCUAAUACCGCAUACGAUCUAAGGAUGAAAGCGGGGGAUCGCAAGACCUCGCGCGAUUGGAGGGGCCGAUAUCAGAGUAGGUAGUUGGUGGGGUAAAGGCUCACCAAGCCAACGAUCUGUAGCUGGUCUGAGAGGACGACCAGCCACACUGGAACUGAGACACGGUCCAGACUCCUACGGGAGGCAGCAGUGGGGAAUUUUGGACAAUGGACGCAAGUCUGAUCCAGCCAUUCCGCGUGCAGGAUGAAGGCCCUCGGUUUGUAAACUGCUUUUGUACGGAACGAAAAGGUCUCUCUUAAUACGGGGGACUCAUGACGGUACCGUAAGAAUAAGCACCGGCUAACUACGUGCCAGCCGCCGCCGUAA
RNAcentral lists this ribosomal RNA (496 nucleotides) under uncultured bacterium. Its description in RNAcentral is "partial 16S ribosomal RNA". It matches the Rfam family "Bacterial small subunit ribosomal RNA", at positions 30 to 523 of the family's 1533-position model. The record is from RNAcentral.